This 253-nucleotide ribosomal RNA is filed under the name uncultured bacterium. RNAcentral describes it as "partial 16S ribosomal RNA". It matches the Rfam family "Bacterial small subunit ribosomal RNA", at positions 524 to 776 of the family's 1533-position model. The record is from RNAcentral.
UACGAAGGGUGCAAACGUUGCUCGGAAUCAUUGGGCGUAAAGCGCACGUAGGCGGCUUCGCAAGUCGGAUGUGAAAUCCCAUGGCUCAACCAUGGACGUGCAUUCGAAACUGCGAAGCUUGAGUAUGGAAGAGGGUCGCGGAAUUCCCGGUGUAGAGGUGAAAUUCGUAGAUAUCGGGAGGAACACCAGUGGCGAAGGCGGGACUCUGGGCCGAUACUGACGCUGAGGAGCGAAAGCGUGGGGAGCGAACAGG